RNAcentral lists this ribosomal RNA (253 nucleotides) under uncultured bacterium. RNAcentral describes it as "partial 16S ribosomal RNA". It matches the Rfam family "Bacterial small subunit ribosomal RNA", at positions 524 to 776 of the family's 1533-position model. The record is from RNAcentral.
UACGUAGGGUGCGAGCGUUGUCCGGAAUUAUUGGGCGUAAAGGGCUCGUAGGCGGUUUGUCGCGUCGGGAGUGAAAACCCAGGGCUUAACCCUGGGCUGGCUUCCGAUACGGGCAGACUAGAGGUAUGCAGGGGAGAACGGAAUUCCUGGCGUAGCGGUGAAAUGCGUAGAUAUCUGGAGGAACACCGGUGGCGAAGGCGGCAUCCUGGACCGACACUGACACUGAGGAGCGAAAGCCGGGGGAGCAAACGGG